This 1346-nucleotide ribosomal RNA is filed under the name uncultured bacterium. RNAcentral describes it as "partial 16S ribosomal RNA". It matches the Rfam family "Bacterial small subunit ribosomal RNA", at positions 28 to 1381 of the family's 1533-position model. The record is from RNAcentral.
GACGAACGCUGGCGGCGUGCUUAACACAUGCAAGUCGAACGGAAAGGCCCUGCUUUUGUGGGGUGCUCGAGUGGCGAACGGGUGAGUAACACGUGAGUAACCUGCCCUUGACUUUGGGAUAACUUCAGGAAACUGGGGCUAAUACCGGAUAGGAGCUCCUGCUGCAUGGUGGGGGUUGGAAAGUUUCGGCGGUUGGGGAUGGACUCGCGGCUUAUCAGCUUGUUGGUGGGGUAGUGGCUUACCAAGGCUUUGACGGGUAGCCGGCCUGAGAGGGUGACCGGCCACAUUGGGACUGAGAUACGGCCCAGACUCCUACGGGAGGCAGCAGUGGGGAAUAUUGCACAAUGGGCGGAAGCCUGAUGCAGCAACGCCGCGUGCGGGAUGACGGCCUUCGGGUUGUAAACCGCUUUCGCCUGUGACGAAGCGUGAGUGACGGUAAUGGGUAAAGAAGCACCGGCUAACUACGUGCCAGCAGCCGCGGUGAUACGUAGGGUGCGAGCGUUGUCCGGAUUUAUUGGGCGUAAAGGGCUCGUAGGUGGUUGAUCGCGUCGGAAGUGUAAUCUUGGGGCUUAACCCUGAGCGUGCUUUCGAUACGGGUUGACUUGAGGAAGGUAGGGGAGAAUGGAAUUCCUGGUGGAGCGGUGGAAUGCGCAGAUAUCAGGAGGAACACCAGUGGCGAAGGCGGUUCUCUGGGCCUUUCCUGACGCUGAGGAGCGAAAGCGUGGGGAGCGAACAGGCUUAGAUACCCUGGUAGUCCACGCUGUAAACGGUGGGUACUAGGUGUGAGGUCCAUUCCACGGGUUCCGUGCCGUAGCUAACGCUUUAAGUACCCCGCCUGGGGAGUACGGCCGCAAGGCUAAAACUCAAAGGAAUUGACGGGGCCCCGCACAAGCGGCGGAGCAUGCGGAUUAAUUCGAUGCAACGCGUAGAACCUUACCUGGGUUUGACAUGGAUCGGGAGUGCUCAGAGAUGGGUGUGCCUCUUUUGGGGUCGGUUCACAGGUGGUGCAUGGCUGUCGUCAGCUCGUGUCGUGAGAUGUUGGGUUAAGUCCCGCAACGAGCGCAACCCUUGUUCACUGUUGCCAGCACGUUAUGGUGGGGACUCAGUGGAGACCGCCGGGGUCAACUCGGAGGAAGGUGGGGGUGACGUCAAGUCAUCAUGCCCCUUAUGUCCAGGGCUUCACGCAUGCUACAAUGGCUGGUACAGAGAGUGGCGAGCCUGUGAGGGUGAGCGAAUCUCGGAAAGCCGGUCUCAGUUCGGAUUGGGGUCUGCAACUCGACCUCAUGAAGUCGGAGUCGCUAGUAAUCACAGAUCAGCAACGCUGCGGUGAAUACGUUCCCGGGGCU